AUUGAACGCUGGCGGCAUGCUUUACACAUGCAAGUCGAACGGCAGCACGGGGGCAACCCUGGUGGCGAGUGGCGAACGGGUGAGUAACACAUCGGAACGUGUCCAGUUGUGGGGGAUAACCCAUCGAAAGGUGGGCUAAUACCGCAUGAGCUGGCAACAGGAAAGCGGGGGACCCGCAAGGGCCUUGUGCGAUUGGAGCGGCCGAUGUCCGAUUAGCUAGUUGGUGGGGUAAAGGCCUACCAAGGCUUCGAUCGGUAGCUGGUCUGAGAGGAUGAUCAGCCACACUGGGACUAAGACACGGCCCAGACUCCUACGGGAGGCAGCAGUGGGGAAUUUUGGACAAUGGGGGCAACCCUGAUCCAGCCAUGCCGCGUGAGUGAAGAAGGCC
RNAcentral lists this ribosomal RNA (388 nucleotides) under uncultured bacterium. RNAcentral's name for it is "bacterial SSU rRNA". It matches the Rfam family "Bacterial small subunit ribosomal RNA", at positions 29 to 416 of the family's 1533-position model. The record is from RNAcentral.